Molecule: long non-coding RNA, 820 nt
Organism: Syzygium oleosum
Lineage: Eukaryota; Viridiplantae; Streptophyta; Magnoliopsida; Myrtales; Myrtaceae
Exons: 2
Source: RefSeq, a predicted model, not a curated record
AUGAUAUCAAGAUAGUACACCAGCAUAGUGCAAGUGUAGACCCCGGAGCUAGUGCAUCAGCAUGACUGCGAGCGUGUCUAGAUGCAGAGAGGUAAUGCUGCAAGAGUUACAUCUUUAGGCUCGUGCUCGAGCAGGUGUGGUUCGAUAUCUCCAAUUGUAAAACUUUUACCGUUGCCGGGUUUAUCGAUUGGAUCUCAACUUUAGGGCUUCCGUCGUAUCUUCUGAGAUUGUACUUUGGUUCACCGGGUAUCUACGGGAAUUUUGCGGAAUCGACUUUGCACUUGGUGCUGAGGCUUCGUGGUGGCAUCAUAGAGCCGUCCUUGAUGGCAUUGGCUAGGAAGUACAACCAGGACAAAAUGGUAUGCCGCGAAUGCUAUGCGUGCCCGCACCCUCGUGCGGUCAACUGCAGGAAAAAGAAGUGUGGGUCACAGCAAUCAGGUAGACGACUGCUCGAUCUACCUUCUUGAGCUGUGGAUAUUGCUUUCUGUAGAGACCAGAGACGCAUAAUCUAUCGUUCUGUUCUGCAGCUGAGGCCGAAGUAGAAGAUCAAGUAGAUUGCCGACCAGCCGCCGAAUGGGUGGCAAAUGUUUCCGAGAGAUGGUACGCUAGAAAGUUUAGAUAGAUCUACAGCUACCGAGAUUCGGACAUUAUGUUGUCUCGAGAGGAUUGUGGUGCACAUGGUAUAGUGGUUUUUGAUAUGACAUGACCUUGAGCAAGUUUUCGGGUUAUGAUAUGAUCUUUCUGUUUCUGAUUUGGCUAAUAUCAUCUCAUUAGUAGUGAGCGGUCUUCUUCUGGUCCAUGCUCGUUCCAGUUUCACCAA